This is a long non-coding RNA of Ficedula albicollis (Collared flycatcher), 2362 nucleotides long. RefSeq lists it as uncharacterized. Lineage: Eukaryota; Metazoa; Chordata; Aves; Passeriformes; Muscicapidae. The record is from RefSeq and is a predicted model, not a curated record. The transcript is spliced from 3 exons.
ACCUGUUCAGUGCAGUCAGACCUUGGCAGCCAUCUUACAGCUUGGCAACCAUUUUGAGAAUGUGCCUGGCAAGCUCUCAGAGCUCGCCGACACUGUUUCAACAGAGCGCUGGUUAAAUAUAGUCCAAAUUAAACAAUACCCUGGAAUAUCAGGUAAAGUCGCCCUUCAGACGUGCACCCCGCAGGUGUUUGUAAGCACAUCUUUAAAGAGAGACGGACACUGUGCUUCCCAUGGGCACCUUAACCCUUUGCAGGGCACGGCGCUGGCAAAGCCCCACCGAGGCACCCACGAGGGGGUCCCGAUGAUGGGAAUACUGCACAACGGGGACCCUGUGGACGCUGGGGACACAGAGGAUGUGUUGCCUUUCAUCACUGUUUAACGAGGCCCCAGGAACCCCACCGGGAGCAAAGGCCCCUCCAAAGGAGGAAAUGGGAUGACAGAGGGACUCUGUACACAACAACACGCAAACCCGCAGCUGUCGUGUGAGAAAAAACUACUUUCGCAGCUUUAAUUUCCUGACAAACUUUUCCAUGUGCUUCUCUCCCAGAGACAAAAGGAAAAGUUUCAGGAGAAAAAAGUCAUCCCAGCAGCCAGACAUCUUAGGGAAGGCUGGUUUAUUGAGAGAGCCCGAUGGCGGGGCGAGCUGUAAACAAACACUUCCCUUCUUCUCCCCACCCUGCGAGAUCGGCGUGUUUUUGGGCCAAACGCCCUUCACUCUGACAGUGCCAAAAUCCCAAGGAAGACUUUGUGCCAGAUGAAGAAAGGCACAGUUGUCAGAAGCUGCUCUGGCCCAGGAGUAGGAAAAGUGCUGUGAGGAGCUGAGAGAAGCGCGUCGGAACCGCUCCUCGGGGCCAGGGGGUACAGCAAGAGGAAGUGCUAUGUGGUGAACAUCCAUCUACCCCUUCUCCAGAUUUGCGGUAGAAGAACGACAGCAGCAACCUUCCCCACCAAUGCCAUGUUCUUCAGAAAUAAAGAACCAAGUCACUCAAGAAGCAAGGGGGGAAAUGGGUUCUUGGAGAGGAGAUUUGACAAAAGAUGAGAGCAGCUGUUUAUCCACUUCAGAGGGCUCUGCUCAUCUCCAGGUCCCUGAAGGACUAGAACUGAGGUGCCAGCUCCCAGCAGCAGCUGUCCUGGCCCGAGCGGGUGCUGCCCAAGUGCAAGGCACCCCCAUCUUCCUCCCUAGAGGAAGAGGAGGCAGAGCUACGGGGCCAUGGCCAAGACACCCGGGAGGCAGCUGCUCACUGGGCAGCCCUACAGACACUUUACAGCUGCCUUCUUCACAGCAUUCCCAAGAAAGUGAUGUGACUCUCCCCAGGCGAUGAGUCCACCUUCUGUAAUACCGGGAUCAAGUUGCACUGCAUUGGAACAGCCAGGAUGAAUCAAGUCCUCGGGACUCUCUUUUUCACAGCAAGGGGAAAAAUAUGAGCACAUACAUUCAUAAAGCUGCACCAAACUAUUAUGUAAAUGCUACAUGUUGGAGUGGGUAUUUUAGUUUUAUGGUGGGACAGCAGGAAUAAGCUUAUAAAUCUAAGGCCUGGGGUCAAUGCUUAAGCAGAGAUUACCUCUAAGCUUUACUUACACAUUCUAUUUUGGCCCAACAAUUUGCAAUGUAUUUCUGGAAAAGAGAACAGUCCCUGCUCAUUCCUGCUGGGAUAAGAUGCAUCUUCCUGAGAUGUCUGGGGCGGCACCUAAGAAGGGCUGGCAAAUUCCUGUCGGAGCAGUAAAGACGGCAAUCUGACUUGAGCUGUGGUGGGGAUAAAGUAAAUCUGCUCGGGUUCAGGCUGGACCUUUCUCUGGCUUGUGACACCGGCUUUCCUGCAGCCUCACCACUAUCCUACAGCUCGUCAUGACCCUCAUCCUGGCAGCUUCGCCUCCAGCCAAGAUCCGCGAUGGCUCCUUCCAAAACAAACCAAGACAAAGUUGCUCUGGAGCAAUGUUUUCCCUGAACCGAGCACAACGUGACUCCGCUUCCACCCACGUAGUAACCCACCCGGCAUGCCCAGCAGCCUGCGACCAAAGCACACAAAAACCAGCACUCCAAGCCCUCCAGCUGCCAAAAGGGAAUCCAAAAGCUUAGAUCAAGAGAGAAAAACUGUGCAGGAAUUAUAAAGAAGUCUCAAUACAAUCGGCAAACAAUAUCUGCACACCUGCACACCCCCUCUUCUUGAGGACAUGACUUACAGGUGCUGCUGUCUGAAACGGGGCCUGUACGCUUCCACUGGCAUCACCUCACUUCCACCUGGCUCACAAAAUAAGGUUGUAAAAUAAGAAUAACCUUUUAACAACAUAGUGUUACUUGAGGAAUGAGAUUCUCGGUACACAGAAGGUAUCAGAAGGCAUCAUCAAAACAUUACGAUAGAUA